UAAACUAGGAUUAGAUACCCUAUUAUUAAGAGCAAAAAAUUGUAAGUAAAUAAUAAUUACGAAAGCAAAAAAUUAUGGCGGUAUCUUAAGCUUUUCAGAGGAAUUUGCUCUGUAAUGGAUAAAACACCUAAAUCUUACUUAAAUUAGUUAGAAUUCAGUUUGUAUACCACUAUUAAAAUAAUAAUUUACUAUUAUUAUUAAUAUUCUUUAUUAAGAAAAAAGUUAAGUCAAGGUGCAGCAAAAAUUUAAGAAUGAAGUGAAUUACAUUUCUUAAAAGAAAAAAAAAUGAAAAUAAAAUUUAGGAUUGAUAGUAAAAUUAAAAUAAAAA
RNAcentral lists this ribosomal RNA (328 nucleotides) under Hyalomma aegyptium. RNAcentral describes it as "partial 12S ribosomal RNA". The record is from RNAcentral. Lineage: Eukaryota; Metazoa; Arthropoda; Arachnida; Ixodida; Ixodidae.